AAAAAUACAUCAUAUUUAGAAUUCUGAAGGAGAGAAAACCCCUUAAUAUAUAAAUAAAAGGGGAAAUGUAACAAGAGUGUUUUUUAGAUUUAGUUCUAAGAUUAUGACUCUAAUUUUUUGAAUUAACUGUAUUUUUCUAGAGGUAAUUAAAUUAUGUAUUAUAUAUACUUAAAAAGAUUAAUGUGCCUAGUUUUGAAAAAUUUAGGGAAUCAAGUUCAUAUUUUUCUUCUUAAAGAUAUUCAAGAUUUUGUCGACAAAGUUCACUAUUGUUAGGAACUCUGCACAAGGCUUUACGUUUUAAAUUAACUGGCAUCAACUGCUCUGAAAUCAAUAUUCAAGCUGGAUAUAAUUGGAAAGUUGUGAGAGUCAAAAGUUGAGUGAAUUUUAAGGUGUCUCAUAUAGAGUUCUCUACAUCAAGAUAAGAUUAAAUGAGUGUUUAUUGCUAAUAUUUUACUGUUGAAAUCAACUUUGAAGUGAAAUUUUCUUUUUCUUUAUUCUCUUCCACCUAUUUACAACUAAUAACUUCAAUUCAAGUUAGAUUUGAGUUCUAAAAUAAUUUAGAUCUUAUUCUAAGCUUGAAGAGGUGUUCCAAGUUAUGUAUUUAACAGUAAUAUUUUGUAAAUUUAGAAAGAGUGUGUGAUUUUGAGAUUGUGACUUAAGAGAGUGCUCUUAUUAGAGUUUCUACAUGCAAGUCUGUAUCACUUGGGUGGAUUCUUUAGAGUGGUAAGUUGGGAAGCCAUGUAUCUUUUGCAAGGCAUUAAUGGGUAGUGAAUAUAUGUAUUCCUUUGUAAUCCUCUUGAGUGGUGAGCUUCGGUGAGUUAGAAAACACCAUUGGAUGGUGAAUUUUUUGUAUCCCAUUGUAAUUCUCUGUAGUAGUGAGCUUUUGUUAUUACUUUGACUCUGUGUGUUUGUUUGACUUAAUAAUAAAAGUUUAGUUAUACAUCAUUGAGUGGUGAAUACUUAUAUCACUUUGAAAUCCUCUUGAGUGGUGAGCUUUGAUGACUUAGGAAACACAAUAUCUCUUGUAUGGCAUUAUUGGACAGUGAUCAUCUUUAUCCCUUUGUAAUCCUCUUGAGUGGUAAGCUUUGGUAAGUUAGGGAGUUAGGUAUUUCUUGUAAAACAUCAUUUGGUGGUAAAUUUUUUGUAUCCUACUGUAAUCCUCCUGAGUGAUGUGCUUUUGUUCUUACCUUGACUUUAUGUGUUUGGUUAACUUAGUAAUAAAAGUUUGGUUUAUAAUUUGGCUGGUUUUAGAAAUAAUAAACAAUAACCCUUAAAAGUGAUAUAAAAGUUGAAAAGUAGGAUCACAUUUGAAGAAGCAUUACACCAAUACAAAAAAAAAAAGAGCCAAGUUAGGUUAUCAUAUCAAGCACGACCAUUUUUUAAUUUAAGGAAAGAGAGAGCCACAAACUUUUAUAUCAGUUUAUUUUAUACAAAUUGAUGUAGCGUAAUUCAAUUGGUUGUAUUAACUGCUACUUGGCCCACAUAAUUUUUUUUUAUCAUUUUAUAUUUUCAUCCAACUAAUAAAUUUAUACCUCAUCAGCUUGUACAAAAUAAAUUUACACAAAAAUUUGUAGCAUUUAUUUUAUAUCUAGAGCUUGCAUUUUGUAACAAUUUUAACUUAAAAGUUGUAUCAGCAUAUUGUGAAACAAACUUAUAAUAGAAAAAUGGGUUCUAUAACCUUAUUGACGAAAAAUGAUAAUCACCACCCCAAAGCUUACAUACAUUUACAUGUUAUAGUUAACAUAAAAAAAAAAAAAAAAAUCACGCACAGACGCGUAUUCUCUAUGUACCUAGGGAUGAAAAAAUCCGAAUCUAGAUUUCGAUGUAGGUGCACUGGAUUCGAAUCCUCAUUGAAGUUUUGAUAUCCGCAUCUACACACAUAUCGAAAAAAAUUGCAAAUCCGGAUGCGGGUAUUAUCUGCAGAGUUUGCAAGUAGAUUUUUCAAAUAUCUAGAUCCAUAAUAAUAAAUUCAA
This 1973-nucleotide long non-coding RNA is filed under the name Citrus x clementina. Its description in RNAcentral is "Citrus clementina (C. clementina) long non-coding RNA (CCLE_LNC004456)". Lineage: Eukaryota; Viridiplantae; Streptophyta; Magnoliopsida; Sapindales; Rutaceae. The record is from RNAcentral.